CCUACGGGAGGCAGCAGUGGGGAAUAUUGCACAAUGGGCGCAAGCCUGAUGCAGCGACGCCGCGUGAGGGAUGACGGCCUUCGGGUUGUAAACCUCUUUCAGUAGGGAAGAAGCGAAAGUGACGGUACCUGCAGAAGAAGCGCCGGCUAACUACGUGCCAGCAGCCGCGGUAAUACGUAGGGCGCAAGCGUUAUCCGGAAUUAUUGGGCGUAAAGAGCUCGUAGGCGGUUUGUCGCGUCUGCCGUGAAAGUCCGGGGCUCAACUCCGGAUCUGCGGUGGGUACGGGCAGACUAGAGUGAUGUAGGGGAGACUGGAAUUCCUGGUGUAGCGGUGAAAUGCGCAGAUAUCAGGAGGAACACCGAUGGCGAAGGCAGGUCUCUGGGCAUUAACUGACGCUGAGGAGCGAAAGCAUGGGGAGCGAACAGGAUUAGAUACCCUGGUAGUCCAUGCCGUAAACGUUGGGCACUAGGUGUGGGGGACAUUCCACGUUUUCCGCGCCGUAGCUAACGCAUUAAGUGCCCGCCUGGGGNGACGCGCGAGAACGUAACGUAAUUAGAGUAGAGNGUGNGNGNGCGAGCGACGACGAGGAGAGG
This 593-nucleotide ribosomal RNA is filed under the name uncultured bacterium. RNAcentral's name for it is "bacterial SSU rRNA". The stretch from base 1 to 524 matches the Rfam family "Bacterial small subunit ribosomal RNA", at positions 338 to 873 of the family's 1533-position model. The record is from RNAcentral.